This 425-nucleotide long non-coding RNA is filed under the name Rattus norvegicus (Norway rat). RNAcentral describes it as "long non-coding RNA NONRATT001096". Lineage: Eukaryota; Metazoa; Chordata; Mammalia; Rodentia; Muridae. The record is from RNAcentral.
GGCCAGGACCCCUGUCCAUGUCUUGUCUCCUCUGCCCUUCCACAUUGUAGGAGGGGCUGCUCUGGGGUGCACUGCUCUAGCUGUGCUGACCUUGCCAUAGGGGUGCUCUCUUCUGGGCUGGGGAAGUGGGCAGGGUAAGCCAUGGGCACGUCUUGACCUGGAGCCUCCCUAACACAGGGAACGAGGCCUGAGCACAUUCUUGUUCCGACCUCACUGUGGGGAAGCCGGCUCCAUCACUCACCUAGUGUCUGCCUUCCUGACUGCAGACAACAUUUCCCACGGGCUGCUCCUCAAGAAGAGUCCUGUUUUGCAGUAUCUCUACUACCUUGCUCAGAUUCCUAUUGCCAUGUCUCCUCUCAGCAACAACAGCCUGUUUCUGGAAUAUUCCAAGAACCCACUUCGGGAAUUCCUACACAAGGGAUUAC